Molecule: ribosomal RNA, 369 nt
Filed under: uncultured Nitrososphaerota archaeon
Lineage: Archaea; Thermoproteati; Nitrososphaerota
Description: bacterial SSU rRNA
Rfam family: Archaeal small subunit ribosomal RNA
Source: RNAcentral
GCAUCCGUAGCCGGCUGUUCAAGUCUCCGGUUAAAUCCACACGCUUAACGUAUGGGCUGCCGGAAAUACUGUUCAGCUAGGGAGUGGGAGAGGUGGACGGUACUCGGUAGGAAGGGGUAAAAUCCUUUGAUCUAUUGAUGACCACCUGUGGCGAAGGCGGUCCACCAGAACACGUUCGACGGUGAGGGAUGAAAGCUGGGGGAGCAAACCGGAUUAGAUACCCGGGUAGUCCCAGCUGUAAACGAUGCAGACUCGGUGAUGCAUUGGCUUGUGGCCAAUGCAGUGCCGCAGGGAAGCCGUUAAGUCUGCCGCCUGGGAAGUACGUACGCAAGUAUGAAACUUAAAGGAAUUGGCGGGGGAGCACAAGCC